GGAUUAGAUACCCUGGUAGUCCACGCCGUAAACGAUGGGUGCUAGAUAUCGGGUUUAGAUUCGGUGUUGGAGCUAACGCAUUAAGCACCCCGCCUGGGGAGUACGGUCGCAAGAUUAAAACUCAAAGGAAUUGACGGGGGCCUGCACAAGCAGUGGAGCAUGUGGUUUAAUUCGAUGCAACGCGAAUAACCUUACCUACCCUUGACAUACCGAUCGCGAUUUUCAGAGAUGAAUUUCUUCAGUUUGGCUGGAUCGUAUACAGGUGUUGCAUGGCUGUCGUCAGCCGUGCUG
RNAcentral lists this ribosomal RNA (291 nucleotides) under uncultured bacterium. RNAcentral describes it as "partial 16S ribosomal RNA". It matches the Rfam family "Bacterial small subunit ribosomal RNA", at positions 775 to 1067 of the family's 1533-position model. The record is from RNAcentral.